GCCAGCUUAGCUUAGGGGUUAGAGCACUGGUCUUGUAAACCAGGGGUCGGGAGUUCGAUUCUCCCAGUUGGCU
This 73-nucleotide transfer RNA is filed under the name Varroa jacobsoni. Its description in RNAcentral is "tRNA-Thr". It matches the Rfam family "tRNA". From Rfam's summary of the family: Transfer RNA (tRNA) molecules are approximately 80 nucleotides in length. Their secondary structure includes four short double-helical elements and three loops (D, anti-codon, and T loops). The record is from RNAcentral. RNAcentral also lists the same sequence under 1 other name. Lineage: Eukaryota; Metazoa; Arthropoda; Arachnida; Mesostigmata; Varroidae.